UUUAUAUUAUAUAAUUAAAUACUUAUUUUAACGAGCAACAAAAAUGCCCGUUACGAAUAAGUGCUUAUUUGCAACUAACAACUCUCCUACCCGUUACCAAUAGUCAUUAAAUUAUUUUUUUUUUUCAUUAAAUUUCAGCAACACGUAUUUAUAUAUAAUUAAUAUAUUAAUUAAAACCUAUUAUAAUAAACUUGUUCCUGUAAAUAAACAAUUAUACCGAACAAAAUUUCGUAAAAAUUAAUACAACAUAAUAUCAAAAUUUAAGUAGUAAAACAUUACAAAUAAAGAAUGCUUGCGAUUUGGAUUUUUUAAUCCAAUCUUAGGGAUCUACUGGGAGUUAAAUAUGUACAGUGAAACAAGACAUGAUAAAACCAAGGGAUUAUAAUAGUGCAGGAAUUCCUGUGACACUUCAGUAGUUCAAACAUCGACCAAUCUUCCAGAAAACAGGACCAGGUUAAGGAGAACAGCUAGGACUCCAUCAUCUUCAUAAGAAAUGCAGUCUCCAAGGCCAACUCUUUACUUCUCAUGUACCUGUUCUCUUCAACUAUCUCAGUUGUUAAGUUAAGCAGAAUAGGGCGAGCUGGGUCAUAUUGUACUUUCUCGGACACGUGCAGCCCAUUUCGCAGCUUCCCAUACGCCAAAUCUGAUUUUUGGAGCAGGAAGGAGGCAUAACAUAUAAAGGGGUGAAGUGGCCAGAUGGGAAGAAGUUUGAGGAUGUUUUUGUAGACACUCUGAAGAAGUAUGGUUACAAUGGCUCAUAUUUAUCUAAAGAUUGGCUAAAACAGCCUGGUUUCAUUCAAUCAUUCGCUCCAUUAUCAAUUGUCUACAUAUCAAAUAAUACAGAUUUGCCCAAAAUCUUGUUGAUUGAUAACACAACUUCGCGAAUAGAAGAUACUAACCAGACUUACUUUGAAGUCACUUCGAAUGCCUACUUUGACUACAUAAAGAAAUACGUAGUUGAUAUUGGGCGGGGGAAGGAUACAGUGGUUCCGGCAGUAAACAAUCAUCUACAAUCUCCUACUGAUCUGGUUGCCAGAGCACAUGCUCAUGGUCUUCAGGUGCAUCCUUAUACCUUUCAAAAUGAGAACAAAUACAUUCAUUUCGAGUUUCAUCAAGAUUUUUAUAUUGAAUUUGACUUCUGGAUAAACAAGAUGGGGGUGGAUGGCCUCUUCACUGAUUUCACAGGAAGCCUUCAUAACUUCCAAGAAUGGACCGCUCCUCUCUCUCCGGGUAUGGUGAAUAAACCAUGAUUAACAAUAUUACCAUCGCGUUGCAUGAGGUUUCUACAAACAGCGAAACUAGUUAUAGUUAUUAUUUGCAUCACCCAGGUUGUUUAAUAAACUUUUUAUCUAAGUAUCAAAACUAUUUAAAUUAUGUAGUGGGCAUGUAAUGACUAACAAUAAUAUUGGUGAAAAUGUUUGAUUUCAAAAUUAUAUAUAAAACAAAUAGCAAA
Chenopodium quinoa (quinoa) is the source of this 1453-nucleotide RNA transcript. It is a transcript of the gene named glycerophosphodiester phosphodiesterase GDPD5-like, with no coding region annotated. The record is from RefSeq and is a predicted model, not a curated record. The transcript is spliced from 4 exons. Lineage: Eukaryota; Viridiplantae; Streptophyta; Magnoliopsida; Caryophyllales; Amaranthaceae.